RNAcentral lists this ribosomal RNA (497 nucleotides) under uncultured bacterium. RNAcentral describes it as "partial 16S ribosomal RNA". It matches the Rfam family "Bacterial small subunit ribosomal RNA", at positions 28 to 507 of the family's 1533-position model. The record is from RNAcentral.
GAUGAACGCUGGCGGCGUGCCUAAUACAUGCAAGUCGAGCGAACAGACGAGGAGCUUGCUCCUCUGACGUUAGCGGCGGACGGGUGAGUAACACGUGGAUAACCUACCUAUAAGACUGGGAUAACUUCGGGAAACCGGAGCUAAUACCGGAUAAUAUAUUGAACCGCAUGGUUCAAUAGUGAAAGACGGUUUUGCUGUCACUUAUAGAUGGAUCCGCGCCACAUUAGCUAGUUGGUAAGGUAACGGCUUACCAAGGCAACGAUGCGUAGCCGACCUGAGAGGGUGAUCGGCCACACUGGAACUGAGACACGGUCCAGACUCCUACGGGAGGCAGCAGUAGGGAAUCUUCCGCAAUGGGCGAAAGCCUGACGGAGCAACGCCGCGUGAGUGAUGAAGGUCUUCGGAUCGUAAAACUCCGUUAUUAGGGAAGAACAAAUGUGUAAGUAACUAUGCACGUCUUGACGGUACCUAAUCAGAAAGCCACGGCUAACUACGUG